AUACGGAGGGUGCAAGCGUUAUCCGGAUUUAUUGGGUUUAAAGGGUUCGUAGGCGGAUCAAUAAGUCAGUGGUGAAAGCCUGUGGCUCAACCAUAGAACUGCCAUUGAUACUGUUGAUCUUGAGUACACUUGAAGUGGGCGGAAUGCGUCAUGUAGCGGUGAAAUGCAUAGAUAUGACGCAGAACACCGAUUGCGAAGGCAGCUCACUAAAUUGUAACUGACGCUGAGGGACGAAAGCGUGGGGAGCGAACAGGAUUAGAAACCCUUGUAGUCC
This 274-nucleotide ribosomal RNA is filed under the name uncultured bacterium. Its description in RNAcentral is "partial 16S ribosomal RNA". It matches the Rfam family "Bacterial small subunit ribosomal RNA", at positions 523 to 796 of the family's 1533-position model. The record is from RNAcentral.